Molecule: non-coding RNA, 440 nt
Organism: Nylanderia fulva
Lineage: Eukaryota; Metazoa; Arthropoda; Insecta; Hymenoptera; Formicidae
Source: RefSeq, a predicted model, not a curated record
UACCAAAAGAAGAUUGGGAUACGAUUCAUUAUACUAGAUUUAUAGGACCAUUUGCUACAUAUAAUGAAGCCAGAGAUAUUGAAAUCCAAGCUGUUGAUAUUUCGACUAAUGAUGAAGAUGCAUUGCAAGCACUUGCAACAGUUAAAGUAACUAACAAUAAUAAGCCACUUUCUGUAAAACGUGCGAUCAAUAAACCGCGCCGUCUUUAUUCUUCUGACGAAGAAAAUCAGAAAUCAUAUGUUAAAAAUGAAAAACUUCUAAAAUCUAUAAAAAGUAAUAGUUUUCCUCAUCAAGACGAAGAUGAAGAUAAAGAAUCUGAUGAAGAUUCAGAAAAAGAUGUUCAAAAGAAUUUUCAAAAACCUCCAAUCCAAUAUAUUCCAAAAAAUAAGAAAAAGGAAAUCAUAAGCGAAGUUGCAGCAGGUGCGAUGAUAAAAUUUUGA